This 516-nucleotide ribosomal RNA is filed under the name uncultured bacterium. Its description in RNAcentral is "partial 16S ribosomal RNA". It matches the Rfam family "Bacterial small subunit ribosomal RNA", at positions 28 to 523 of the family's 1533-position model. The record is from RNAcentral.
GAUGAACGCUGGCGGCGUGCCUAAUACAUGCAAGUCGAACGCAUUGAGAGAAGUGCUUGCACUUUUCAAUUUGAGUGGCGAACGGGUGAGUAACACGUGGGCAACCUACCUGAUAGCGGGGGAUAACGAGUGGAAACAUUCGCUAAUACCGCAUAACAAUAGAGAAGGCAUCUUCUUUAUUUAAAAGGCGCUUUCAAGCGUCACUAUCAGAUGGGCCCGCGGUGCAUUAGUUAGUUGGUGGGGUGAAGGCCUACCAAGACGAUGAUGCAUAGCAGAGUUGAGAGACGGAUCGGCCACAUUGGGACUGAGACGCGGCCGAAACUCCUACGGGAGGCUGCAGUAGGGAAUCUUCCACAAUGGACGAAAGUCUGAUGGAGCAACGCUGCGUGUGUGAUGAAGGCUUUCGGGUCGUAAAGCACUGUUGUAUGGGAAGAAAUGCUAGGCUAGGAAAUGAGCUUAGUUUGACGGUACCAUACCAGAAAGGGACGGCUAAAUACGUGCCAGCCGCCGCGGUAA